This is a long non-coding RNA of Aricia agestis (brown argus), 97 nucleotides long. RefSeq lists it as uncharacterized. Lineage: Eukaryota; Metazoa; Arthropoda; Insecta; Lepidoptera; Lycaenidae. The transcript has 3 exons. The record is from RefSeq and is a predicted model, not a curated record.
CUAGCUUUAAAUCCAAUUAGGGAGGCGAGGUAGCUAAAUGGCGAAAUUCAACGGCGCUGUCGAGACCUAUCAAAAUCGAAAGAUAAAAUAAUUUCGA